This 253-nucleotide ribosomal RNA is filed under the name uncultured bacterium. RNAcentral's name for it is "partial 16S ribosomal RNA". It matches the Rfam family "Bacterial small subunit ribosomal RNA", at positions 524 to 776 of the family's 1533-position model. The record is from RNAcentral.
UACGAAGGGGGGUAGCGUUGUUCGGAAUCACUGGGCGUAAAGCGCACGCAGGCGGAUCGAUAAGUCGGGGGUGAAAGCCCGGGGCUCAACCUCGGAAUUGCCUUCGAUACUGUCGGUCUCGAGUCCGGGAGAGGUGAGUGGAAUUCCUAGUGUAGAGGUGAAAUUCGUAGAUAUUAGGAAGAACACCAGUGGCGAAGGCGGCUCACUGGCCCGGUACUGACGCUCAUGCACGAAAGCGUGGGGAGCAAACAGG